RNAcentral lists this transfer RNA (87 nucleotides) under compost metagenome. RNAcentral describes it as "tRNA-Arg". The record is from RNAcentral.
CGCCGAUGGGGUGGCCCUUCGACUCCAGCCCCCCCGAGGGGUUGACGGGUCGACGACCGCCCAAGGUGGUGUGGCCUUGUUCCGCGA